RNAcentral lists this ribosomal RNA (137 nucleotides) under Alphaproteobacteria bacterium. RNAcentral's name for it is "partial 16S ribosomal RNA". It matches the Rfam family "Bacterial small subunit ribosomal RNA", at positions 1397 to 1533 of the family's 1533-position model. Lineage: Bacteria; Pseudomonadati; Pseudomonadota; Alphaproteobacteria. The record is from RNAcentral.
UCACACCAUGGGAGUUGGUUCUACCUUAAGCUGGUGCGCUAACCGUAAGGAGGCAGCCAACCACGGUAGGGUCAGCGACUGGGGUGAAGUCGUAACAAGGUAGCCGUAGGGGAACCUGCGGCUGGAUCACCUCCUUU